Molecule: ribosomal RNA, 497 nt
Filed under: uncultured bacterium
Lineage: Bacteria
Description: partial 16S ribosomal RNA
Rfam family: Bacterial small subunit ribosomal RNA
Source: RNAcentral
GAUGAACGCUGGCGGCGUGCCUAAUACAUGCAAGUCGAGCGAACGGACGAGAAGCUUGCUCCUCUGAUGUUAGCGGCGGACGGGUGAGUAACACGUGGAUAACCUACCUAUAAGACUGGGAUAACUUCGGGAAACCGUAGCUAAUACCGGAUAAUAUAUUGAACCGCAUGGUUCAAUAGUGAAAGACGGUUUUGCUGUCACUUAUAGAUGGAUCCGCGCUGCAUUAGCUAGUUGGUAAGGUAACGGCUUACCAAGGCAACGAUGCAUAGCCGACCUGAGAGGGUGAUCGGCCACACUGGAACUGAGACACGGUCCAGACUCCUACGGGAGGCAGCAGUAGGGAAUCUUCCGCAAUGGGCGAAAGCCUGACGGAGCAACGCCGCGUGAGUGAUGAAGGUCUUCGGAUCGUAAAACUCUGUUAUUAGGGAAGAACAUAUGUGUAAGUAACUAUGCACGUCUUGACGGUACCUAAUCAGAAAGCCACGGCUAACUACGUG